This 467-nucleotide ribosomal RNA is filed under the name uncultured bacterium. RNAcentral describes it as "partial 16S ribosomal RNA". It matches the Rfam family "Bacterial small subunit ribosomal RNA", at positions 28 to 507 of the family's 1533-position model. The record is from RNAcentral.
GACGAACGCUGGCGGCGUGCUUAACACAUGCAAGUCGAACGGAAAGGCCUCUUUCGGGGGGUACUCGAGUGGCGAACGGGUGAGUAACACGUGAGUAACCUGCCCUUGACUUUGGGAUAACUUCAGGAAACUGGGGCUAAUACCGGAUAGGAGCUCCUGCUGCAUGGUGGGGGUUGGAAAGUUUCGGCGGUUGGGGAUGGACUCGCGGCUUAUCAGCUUGUUGGUGGGGUAGUGGCUUACCAAGGCUUUGACGGGUAGCCGGCCUGAGAGGGUGACCGGCUACAUUGGGACUGAGAUACGGCCCAGACUCCUACGGGAGGCAGCAGUGGGGAAUAUUGCACAAUGGGUGGAAGCCUGAUGCAGCAACGCCGUGUGCGGGAUGACGGCCUUCGGGUUGUAAACCGAUUUCGCUCAUGACGAAGCUUUGUGUGACGGUAGUGGGUAAAGAAGCACCGGCUAACUACGUG